This 623-nucleotide ribosomal RNA is filed under the name Klebsiella pneumoniae. RNAcentral's name for it is "partial 23S ribosomal RNA". It matches the Rfam family "Bacterial large subunit ribosomal RNA", at positions 2201 to 2823 of the family's 2925-position model. The record is from RNAcentral. Lineage: Bacteria; Pseudomonadati; Pseudomonadota; Gammaproteobacteria; Enterobacterales; Enterobacteriaceae.
CACCCUUUAAUGUUUGAUGUUCUAACGUUGGCCCCUUACCGGGGUUGCGGACAGUGUCUGGUGGGUAGUUUGACUGGGGCGGUCUCCUCCCAAAGCGUAACGGAGGAGCACGAAGGUUAGCUAAUCCUGGUCGGACAUCAGGAGGUUAGUGCAAUGGCAUAAGCUAGCUUGACUGCGAGCGUGACGGCGCGAGCAGGUGCGAAAGCAGGUCAUAGUGAUCCGGUGGUUCUGAAUGGAAGGGCCAUCGCUCAACGGAUAAAAGGUACUCCGGGGAUAACAGGCUGAUACCGCCCAAGAGUUCAUAUCGACGGCGGUGUUUGGCACCUCGAUGUCGGCUCAUCACAUCCUGGGGCUGAAGUAGGUCCCAAGGGUAUGGCUGUUCGCCAUUUAAAGUGGUACGCGAGCUGGGUUUAGAACGUCGUGAGACAGUUCGGUCCCUAUCUGCCGUGGGCGCUGGAGAAUUGAGGGGGGCUGCUCCUAGUACGAGAGGACCGGAGUGGACGCAUCACUGGUGUUCGGGUUGUCAUGCCAAUGGCACUGCCCGGUAGCUAAAUGCGGAAGAGAUAAGUGCUGAAAGCAUCUAAGCACGAAACUUGCCCCGAGAUGAGUUCUCCCUGAGACUU